AUUGAACGCUGGCGGCAUGCUUUACACAUGCAAGUCGAACGGUAACAGGGUGCUUGCACCGCUGACGAGUGGCGAACGGGUGAGUAAUGCGUCGGAACGUGCCGAGUAGUGGGGGAUAACGCAGCGAAGGUUGUGCUAAUACCGCAUACGUACUGAGGUGGAAAGUGGGGGACCUUCGGGCCUCACGCUAUUCGAGCGGCCGACGUCUGAUUAGCUAGUAGGUGAGGUAAAGGCUCACCUAGGCGACGAUCAGUAGCGGGUCUGAGAGGAUGAUCCGCCACACUGGGACUGAGACACGGCCCAGACUCCUACGGGAGGCAGCAGUGGGGAAUUUUGGACAAUGGGCGAAAGCCUGAUCCAGCCAUGCCGCGUGUCUGAAGAAGGCCUUCGGGUUGUAAAGGACUUUUGUCAGGGAGGAAAUCCCUAGUGCUAAUAACACUGGGGGAUGACAGUACCUGAAGAAUAAGCACCGGCUAACUACGUGCCAGCAGCCGCCGUAA
Molecule: ribosomal RNA, 500 nt
Filed under: uncultured bacterium
Lineage: Bacteria
Description: partial 16S ribosomal RNA
Rfam family: Bacterial small subunit ribosomal RNA
Source: RNAcentral